Ochlerotatus camptorhynchus is the source of this 575-nucleotide long non-coding RNA. RefSeq lists it as uncharacterized. Lineage: Eukaryota; Metazoa; Arthropoda; Insecta; Diptera; Culicidae. The transcript is spliced from 3 exons. The record is from RefSeq and is a predicted model, not a curated record.
GGAUUCUUGGCUGGAGGAUAUUAUGCUGUUUGAAAUGUGCAAUGAUAUAGUUGGCGGCAGUAUUUCGUGACGUUCGGUCGUGCGGUUCUCGCAACGUCCUGUAUAUCAAGCUUCAUCAUUUUAUCAUAAACCGUGCUGUAGCGAAGAGAAUGAUGUAGCAAGUUGAGUAGACUUUAGUGCUUGGCGGGAGUGAUAUGAGUGAAGGGCCUGUUUGCUCAACACUGUACGAGAUGAGUAUGUCGCUCUGGAGCGGCUCAAAUUGAAUGGGGCUUUAUUACUCUUUUGUUUUUCACAUUUGAAUAAGGAAGGAUGUAAAGUGAUAUGACCAGGCGGCAAAGAUGAGAAAAUAAAAAGGGUGAUAAUUUAUAAGCGAGACAACAAGUGUCGUAGUGCUGGUACCGGAUAAGGUGGAUUCAGAUGCUACAGAAAAAGGAAUAAGUGUGCACAAUUUAACGAAAGGAGAAGAGAGUACACCAUAAUUAAUUGAAAUGAGAUGCACACAACCGUUAGCAUGAUUAAUUAUAAUUGGAUACUAACAAACUGAUGGGAAUUGAGUUAACUACGGUGAUUAAUAC